AGGACGAACGCUGGCGGCGUGCUUAACACAUGCAAGUCAAGGGGGCCCAGCAAUGGGCAACCGGCGAACGGGUGCGUAACACGUGAGCAACCUACCGAAAUGUGGGGGAUAGCCGGCCUAACGGCCGAGUAAUACCGCAUACGCUCUCGAUGAGGCAUUUCAUUGAGAGGAAACCUACGGGACAUUUCGAGGGGCUCGCGGCCUAUCAGCUAGUUGGAGAGGUAACGGCUCACCAAGGCAACGACGGGUAGC
This 252-nucleotide ribosomal RNA is filed under the name uncultured soil bacterium. Its description in RNAcentral is "partial 16S ribosomal RNA". It matches the Rfam family "Bacterial small subunit ribosomal RNA", at positions 26 to 287 of the family's 1533-position model. The record is from RNAcentral.